UACGAAGGGGGCUAGCGUUGCUCGGAAUUACUGGGCGUAAAGCGCGCGCAGGCGGUCUUCCAAGUCAGUGGUGAAAGCCCGGAGCUCAACUCCGGAACUGCCAUUGAAACUGUGAGACUUGAGGACGAGAGAGGUGAGUGGAAUUCCCAGUGUAGAGGUGAAAUUCGUAGAUAUUGGGAAGAACACCGGUGGCGAAGGCGGCUCACUGGCUCGUAUCUGACGCUCAGGCGCGACAGCGUGGGGAUCAAACAGG
This 253-nucleotide ribosomal RNA is filed under the name uncultured bacterium. RNAcentral describes it as "partial 16S ribosomal RNA". It matches the Rfam family "Bacterial small subunit ribosomal RNA", at positions 524 to 776 of the family's 1533-position model. The record is from RNAcentral.